CGCGGGGCGACCACGGAGCCCGCACCACCCGCUGCCGGAGCCGCCCCGGGGUGACNCGGGCCUCACGGAGCCGCCCGGGCCCCUCGGCCGAGACGGGGACGGCAGCCCAGGCGUGCCUGACGCUUCAGGUCCUCAGCGAGCCCCGGCAGCCGAUACAUCUUUUCCGUGAGACGGGAAGAAACGCAGACCUGUGCAUAAGAGUGGCUGUACAGAAUAAGUUCUUGCAGGCCCAAAGGAUUUUCUUCAUGCCAGAACUUGCCCUGUGCCUCUUUACUAAAGCUGCAAGACUUUACCUGGAGGAGAGAGGCCUUGGAGCUUUUAUUGUGCCUUGCAAGCCCAGAUUACGUCGAUCACGUUGACUGGUCACAGAAACUUGACCCAUGCAAAGAACAUCAGAGGCUUUUUGGGACCCAUGAGACAGCAACACAGCCCCCUACACCAACUAAAGAUCACAUCUUUAGCACAGGAUACUGAUUUUGCUGCUUCAGUAAUAAAGUAUGUCUAAGCAUUAGGACUGUCUGUGGU
RNAcentral lists this long non-coding RNA (525 nucleotides) under Cyanistes caeruleus (blue tit). RNAcentral's name for it is "lncRNA (ENSCCEG00000010138.1)". Lineage: Eukaryota; Metazoa; Chordata; Aves; Passeriformes; Paridae. The record is from RNAcentral.